This 253-nucleotide ribosomal RNA is filed under the name uncultured bacterium. RNAcentral describes it as "partial 16S ribosomal RNA". It matches the Rfam family "Bacterial small subunit ribosomal RNA", at positions 524 to 776 of the family's 1533-position model. The record is from RNAcentral.
UACGUAGGGGGCAAGCGUUGUCCGGAUUUAUUGGGCGUAAAGAGCGUGUAGGCGGCCAGGUAGGUCCGUUGUGAAAACUCGAGGCUCAACCUCGAGACGUCGAUGGAAACCAUCUGGCUAGAGUCCGGAAGAGGAGAGUGGAAUUCCUGGUGUAGCGGUGAAAUGCGCAGAUAUCAGGAGGAACACCAGUGGCGAAGGCGCCGCUCUGGGCCGUGACUGACGCUGAGGAGCGAAAGCGUGGGUAGCAAACAGG